RNAcentral lists this ribosomal RNA (433 nucleotides) under uncultured bacterium. RNAcentral describes it as "partial 16S ribosomal RNA". It matches the Rfam family "Bacterial small subunit ribosomal RNA", at positions 29 to 507 of the family's 1533-position model. The record is from RNAcentral.
AACGAACGCUGGCGGCAGGCUUAACACAUGCAAGUCGAGCGAGACCUUCGGGUCUAGCGGCGGACGGGUGAGUAACGCGUGGGAACGUGCCCUUCUCUACGGAAUAGCCCCGGGAAACUGGGAGUAAUACCGUAUACGCCCUUUGGGGGAAAGAUUUAUCGGAGAAGGAUCGGCCCGCGUUGGAUUAGGUAGUUGGUGGGGUAAUGGCCCACCAAGCCGACGAUCCAUAGCUGGUUUGAGAGGAUGAUCAGCCACACUGGGACUGAGACACGGCCCAGACUCCUACGGGAGGCAGCAGUGGGGAAUCUUACACAAUGGGGGCAACCCUGAUCUAGCCAUGCCGCGUGAGUGAUGAAGGCCUUAGGGUUGUAAAGCUCUUUCAGCUGGGAAGAUAAUGACGGUACCAGCAGAAGAAGCCCCGGCUAACUCCGUG